This is a small nucleolar RNA of Phyllostomus discolor (pale spear-nosed bat), 125 nucleotides long. RefSeq annotates it as small nucleolar RNA SNORA31. NCBI's taxonomy places the organism in Eukaryota, Metazoa, Chordata, Mammalia, Chiroptera, Phyllostomidae. The record is from RefSeq and is a predicted model, not a curated record. The transcript has a single exon.
CUGCAUCCAUUGAUAGACCUUCAACAAUCUGACAUUACCCUUUUAGUUUGCACUAGGAUGUGAAAGAAAAAAAAUCACUGCACCUUGUCUUUGCAGCAACCCAGAUGGAAUAGGGGACUACACCU